Molecule: ribosomal RNA, 440 nt
Filed under: uncultured bacterium
Lineage: Bacteria
Description: partial 16S ribosomal RNA
Rfam family: Bacterial small subunit ribosomal RNA
Source: RNAcentral
CCUACGGGUGGCAGCAGUGGGGAAUAUUGCACAAUGGGGGAAACCCUGAUGCAGCAACGCCGCGUGAGUGAUGACGGCCUUCGGGUUGUAAAGCUCUGUCUUCAGGGACGAUAAUGACGGUACCUGAGGAGGAAGCCACGGCUAACUACGUGCCAGCAGCCGCGGUAAUACGUAGGUGGCGAGCGUUGUCCGGAUUUACUGGGCGUAAAGGGAGCGUAGGCGGACUUUUAAGUGAGAUGUGAAAUACUCGGGCUCAACUUGAGUGCUGCAUUUCAAACUGUAAGUCUAGAGUGCAGGAGAGGAGAAUGGAAUUCCUAGUGUAGCGGUGAAAUGCGUAGAGAUUAGGAAGAACUCCGAUUGCGAAGGCAGUUCACUGGACUGCAACUGACACUGAGGCUCGAAAGUGUGGGUAUCAAACAGGAUUAGAUACCCGGGUAGUC